AGCUAGAAAGUCAGUGAAAGCUA
This 23-nucleotide non-coding RNA is filed under the name Arabidopsis thaliana (thale cress). Lineage: Eukaryota; Viridiplantae; Streptophyta; Magnoliopsida; Brassicales; Brassicaceae. The record is from RNAcentral.